Long non-coding RNA from Melitaea cinxia (Glanville fritillary), 683 nucleotides. RefSeq lists it as uncharacterized. NCBI's taxonomy places the organism in Eukaryota, Metazoa, Arthropoda, Insecta, Lepidoptera, Nymphalidae. The record is from RefSeq and is a predicted model, not a curated record. The transcript has 2 exons.
GUCGACGAGGCUGUCACCGAAGCACGUGCUGAACCAACCUACCGCCCGCGACGAAGUCAGUUCAAUUAGGAUCCGAAUCGGAGGCGGCAAGUUGUUCCAACACUUCGUCGCUGCAUAGCGGAAACUACCAUGGAACGCUGCAGAUCGAUGCAUGGGUAUAUUGAGCAUGUAAGACGAUGCUCGUGUAGGGUAAUUCCUGUUACAUUCCUUUGCCCAGGUUAAUUUAUCGUACAAGUACACAGGGGCUUUACUUUGGAUCACGUCGAAUAGUAAGGUCGCAAGAUGCAAUUGCCUACGAUGUUCCAUCCUAAUCAUUCGUGCAUCAUUAAUAUAAGGAGAAAUAUGCGCGCAACGUGGUAUAUUAAAACAGUACCGCAUGCAUGCAUUUUGUACCCGUUGUAUAAGUUUUUUUGUACGUGCAAGUAGCCUAGGUUCAAUUACAAUAUCAGCAUAGUUGAAUUUUGAAAGAACCAGCGUUUCACACAACUUCACUCGCAUAUCCUUACUGAGAACAUUUCUUAUCUGAUACAAGACUUUUAACCUAUAAAAACAAUUACGAGCUGUAUUCAUGGUAUGUCUUUCAAACCUCAACCCCUCAUCAAUCACUAAGCCUAAAUUACGCACCUCUGUCACUCUUUCAAUCCUUUCACCCCUUAUGUGAAUAAAUGGAUUUAAACUACUGA